Molecule: ribosomal RNA, 480 nt
Filed under: uncultured bacterium
Lineage: Bacteria
Description: partial 16S ribosomal RNA
Rfam family: Bacterial small subunit ribosomal RNA
Source: RNAcentral
GACGAACGCUGGCGGCGUGCCUAACACAUGCAAGUCGAGCGAGUGAAUCUCCUUCGGGAGUGAAGCUAGCGGCGGACGGGUGAGUAACACGUGGGCAACCUGCCUCAUAGAGGGGAAUAGCCUUCCGAAAGGAAGAUUAAUACCGCAUAAGAUUGCAGCUUCGCAUGAAGUAGCAAUUAAAGGAGCAAUCCGCUAUGAGAUGGGCCCGCGGCGCAUUAGCUAGUUGGUGAGGUAACGGCUCACCAAGGCGACGAUGCGUAGCCGACCUGAGAGGGUGAUCGGCCACAUUGGGACUGAGACACGGCCCAGACUCCUACGGGAGGCAGCAGUGGGGAAUAUUGCACAAUGGGGGAAACCCUGAUGCAGCAACGCCGCGUGAGUGAUGACGGCCUUCGGGUUGUAAAGCUCUGUCUUCAGGGACGAUAAUGACGGUACCUGAGGAGGAAGCCACGGCUAACUACGUGCCAGCCGCCGCAGUAA